Molecule: long non-coding RNA, 350 nt
Filed under: Brassica napus (rape)
Lineage: Eukaryota; Viridiplantae; Streptophyta; Magnoliopsida; Brassicales; Brassicaceae
Description: long non-coding RNA (BNAP_LNC018078)
Source: RNAcentral
AAGCUACCGCCACAAGAUGACAAUUAUUAUGGGAGAAGAGAGCGAAGAACGCGUUGCCACAGUCAAGAACCCGAAACCGAGAGACAGAUACACCGAAAGAGACGCAGAUGCAGUCUGGUGACUCGACACGCGCUGCCACAGAAACCUCCAACCCCGGAUGACAACACCAAGAAAGAAAGCUCCCCACGCGCACCCACGACUGAGAACCAGCCACAAGAUCUCCCAAGAUCUAGGCGCAUCCGUACGAAACCAAGAAACAGGACUCAAUCCUGACAAAGCAAAUACCUCACCGAAAAGAGGCGAAAUGAUGAAGAACCGCUGGAAUAGAAGCCUCUUCAGGACUCCACGCG